CCAUAAUUCAUACAUAAACUUGUACAAAUGUACAAAGCUAGAUUUAGAGUGUAUUUGUUGGGCAACAACAUAGACGUCCUUGGCAACUGCCACUACUCAAACCUCAUCGUUGAAAUCUCUGUAUACAAUCUUCAUUAGAUGAUGGACAUUCCUGUGAAUCAAAACAAUCAAAUUGGGCGUCAUCACUCAUAAUUUCUUCAUAUCUUCUUGCACCACCUACAAUCAAUAUAAAUAAUUUUUAUAUGGAGAAAAGUUUUGUGGCAUCAAUUAUAUAGUAAAUUAUUUUGAAAUUAUACAUGAAAAAAUAGGUAGAGAAUAAAUAAAUGGGUUACCUCGAUGCAAAACUAAAGCAAUGCAAAGAAUUGCAAUGAAACAGUAUACUCGGUUGAUGCCGAUAGCCAUGUUCUCUUGAAAGAUGAAUGGACAAACAACGUCG
RNAcentral lists this long non-coding RNA (436 nucleotides) under Lathyrus oleraceus (garden pea). RNAcentral describes it as "Pisum sativum (pea) long non-coding RNA (PSAT_LNC022094)". The record is from RNAcentral. Lineage: Eukaryota; Viridiplantae; Streptophyta; Magnoliopsida; Fabales; Fabaceae.